CAGUAGCCGCGGUAAUACGGAGGAUCCGAGCGUUAUCCGGAAUUAUUGGGUUUAAAGGGUGCGUAGGCGGAUAGAUAAGUCAGUGGUGAAAGACGGUGGCUCAACCAUCGCAGUGCCGUUGAUACUGUUUAUCUUGAAUAUGGAUGAGGUAGGCGGAAUGUGGCAAGUAGCGGUGAAAUGCAUAGAUAUGCCACAGAACACCGAUUGCGAAGGCAGCUUACCAAGGCAAAAUUGACGCUGAGGCACGAAAGCGUGGGGAUCGAACAGGAUUAGAUACCCCGGUAGUCCCUGUCUCUUAUAA
Molecule: ribosomal RNA, 301 nt
Filed under: uncultured bacterium
Lineage: Bacteria
Description: partial 16S ribosomal RNA
Rfam family: Bacterial small subunit ribosomal RNA
Source: RNAcentral